CAGCAGCCGCCACGGUAAUACGUAGGUGGCAAGCGUUGUCCGGAAUUAUUGGGCGUAAAGGGCUCGCAGGCGGUCUCUUAAGUCUGAUGUGAAAGCCUCCGGCUCAACCGGGGAGGGUCAUUGGAAACUGGGAAACUUGAGUGCAGAAGAGGAGAGUGGAAUUCCACGUGUAGCGGUGAAAUGCGUAGAGAUGUGGAGGAACACCAGUGGCGAAGGCGACUCUCUGGUCUGUAACUGACGCUGAGGAGCGAAAGCGUGGGGAGCGAACAGGAUUAGAUACCCCCGUAGUCCCUGUCUCUUAUAC
RNAcentral lists this ribosomal RNA (304 nucleotides) under uncultured bacterium. RNAcentral describes it as "partial 16S ribosomal RNA". It matches the Rfam family "Bacterial small subunit ribosomal RNA", at positions 509 to 807 of the family's 1533-position model. The record is from RNAcentral.